RNAcentral lists this ribosomal RNA (247 nucleotides) under uncultured bacterium. Its description in RNAcentral is "partial 16S ribosomal RNA". It matches the Rfam family "Bacterial small subunit ribosomal RNA", at positions 86 to 334 of the family's 1533-position model. The record is from RNAcentral.
AGAUGGCGACCGGCGCACGGGUGAGUAACACGUAUCCAACCUGCCGAUAACUCGGGGAUAGCCUUUCGAAAGAAAGAUUAAUACCCGAUGGCAUAAUAGAACCGCAUGAUUUGAUUAUUAAAGAAUUUCGGUUAUCGAUGGGGAUGCGUUCCAUUAGGCAGUUGGUGGGGUAACGGCCCACCAAACCUUCGAUGGAUAGGGGUUCUGAGAGGAAGGUCCCCCACAUUGGAACUGAGACACGGUCCAA